UAAGGUUGACGAGCGGCGGACGGGUGAGUAAUGCCUGGGAAACUGCCCUUUUGUGGGGGAUAACAAAUGGAAACGCCUGCUAAUACCGCAUAGACCCGACAGGCAAAAGUGGGGGACCUUCGGAUGCGCGUCUGGAUUGGCCCAAGUGGGAUUAGCUAGUUGGUGAGGUAACGGCUCACCUAGGCAACGAACCUAGCUGGUCUGCGAGGACGAACAGCCCCUAUGGGACUGAGACACGCCAGACUCCUACGGGAGGCGCANGGGAACAUUGCACAAUGGGUCGGACCCUNAUGCAACCUGCCGCGUGUGANAAGAAGGCCUUCGGAUUGUAAACNANUUUCAGUNACNAGGAAAGGCGGCAAGUUAACACCUUGUAUCUAUGACGUUACAGGUAGAAGAAGCACCCAUAAAUUAUNCANCAGCUGCGGUAAUAAAAAAGAUGAGCACAUUAAUCNAANUUCNGGNCGUAAAGCUUACGCAGACGGUUUGUAAGCGAGAUGUGUAAUUCNCGGGCUCACNCGGGGCAACCGCCNAUGNAACCGCNAAGNUNGAGUCUAGUAGAGGGGAANAGAACGCCAGGUGNAANGCGAAAUGCGUAGAGANCUGGAGAUAUACCGNUCNCGAANGCGGCCCAGUCGACAAAAANNAACUAUCAGGUANGANNAAGCGGGGAUCAAACUGGAUUAGAUACCCUGGUAGUUCACGGCGUAAACGNGGAUUUCUCGGANUUUGCCGCCNUUAANNUUAGGNUCAGAACNUGNUCNAUGAAGUNAACCGNCUGUGGAUUANAAUCGUAAGGUUANAACUUNAAUGAAUUNACGAGGGCCCGCNNAAGAGGUGGAGCGUUNGUUUUAAAUCGAUGCAUCGCGAAGACCCUUACCUACUCUUGACAUCCANAGAAUUUUCCAGAGAUGGAUUAGUGCCUUCGGGAACUCUGAGACAGGUGCUGCAUGNCUGUCGUCAGCUCGUGUUGUGAAAUGUUGGGUUAAGUCCCGCAACGAGCGCAACCCUUAUCCUUACUUGCCAGCGGGUGAUGCCGGGAACUGUAGGGAGACUGCCGGUGAUAAACCGGAGGAAGGUGGGGACGACGUCAAGUCAUCCCCNGCCCUUACGAGUAGGGCUACACACGUGCUACAAUGGCCAGUACAGAGGGAAGCAAANCGGCGACGUGGAGCGGAUCUCAUAAAUCUGGUCGNAGUCCGGAUUGGGNUCUGCAACUGGNGUCCCNGAUUUUAAAACCGCUAGUAAUNNUCNAUCA
RNAcentral lists this ribosomal RNA (1258 nucleotides) under uncultured Gammaproteobacteria bacterium. RNAcentral describes it as "partial 16S ribosomal RNA". It matches the Rfam family "Bacterial small subunit ribosomal RNA", at positions 83 to 1351 of the family's 1533-position model. Lineage: Bacteria; Pseudomonadati; Pseudomonadota; Gammaproteobacteria. The record is from RNAcentral.